CCGACUCCCUGGCCUCAUUCUACCAUCUAUUGUGGUUUUCCAAUCUAGGCCGAGGGGCUAGGUUUCUUCAGACAAUCAGGGCCCAAGGUUAAGAUUUCUCUUGAAAUUCAAGGUUCGAGUUUAUGAUUUGCCAGAGAAAAUUUUGCUUCUGUCUUGUUCUAGGAAUUCAUUUUUACAUUCGCAACUAUGUCGACGAUGCUAGCUUCCUGAGAAUUACUAGCACAGUUUGGGUUUAGGGCUUUUCGAUGGCUAAGGAGAACGAAUCGGCUUCGCAGGCCACCGUCAAUGGAGACAAUACACUCACGAGAUCUACGAUGUCGUCCAUUGGGGUGAGCGUCGUUACCCUAUCUUUUUGUUCGCAUAUUUUUCCUGUAUUAAUUCUAGGGUUUUUUAUUUAGAUCGGAAGAGGAUGUGUUUUGCUUAGGGAAACAUAUCGAGAAUGUACGAGACAUUGAUGGUGCCGUCCGAGGGUUCCUCAUUCUUGGCGUGAUGAUAGACUUGUGUUAAUAAUGGUGAGCAUUUUUGCCCUAUUCUUCUGUUCACACCUUUUUCUUGUAUUAAUUCUAGGGUUCCUUUGCAUGAUAGAAGAACGCUUAGGGUUUCACCUCACGCGGUGAUACCUGAUUAGCUUUAAAUAUAAUAGUUGUAGAAAUAGUAGCAUUUAAACAAUAAAUGAAGUUUAUGGAGUGGAGUCGAAUUAGGGUACUUCAAUGUAGGUGUGCAGCAGAUGCAUUUUUCAAAGAUUUGGGAUCACAGAGAGCAGAGAGCGUUAUUCUGAUCACCAACUUCAUAUCCUCCCUUAUUUUGAGGACAAGAAAUUGGUGGUGAAAAGGGAGAGCACAAAUGAGUUUUCCUUUUCUAUUUUUCUGUUUAUAUUUCCAACUUCAUCUCGAUCGAGAGUUUAAAAAAUGGGAAAAAAGAGAAAAACCAUGUUUACAUUAUCUACAUCUCAAGUAUAGAUAAAUUUCUGCUGAGUCCAAAUUUAAGUUUCUUUGAGGUCAUUGUACAAACUAUGUAUUUUUUAAAGAGGUUUUGAUUUUGCAUUUUCUUUUGUAACUUGUGUUUGAAAAAACGUAUGAAUCUGGAAGUUUCAAGGAAAGUCACUUUCUAAAUCCUUUAUUGCAAAGGAUGCUCCAAGAAAUUUCUCAUACAGGCACGUUUAUUUUAUACUACCACCAUUUGUUCCUGUUUCUUUACAAUUUGUAGAAUGAUCUUAUGUCUGCUCUUUAAGUGAGCUGCCCGUUAAGCCUUAUGAUAGUUUCUUAUGUCUUAAACUUUAGAGCAUAACAAGAUGUGGUACUUCUCUAGAAUUUUGUGACAAGCCCGUGGGAAGGAAAAGAGAAGCCUUAGUAAAAGGACCUUCAUCCUUCCAUUCAUAUUUUUCUCUCUCACUCACACACGCACAUGCAGACAGUGACAUUUCAAUACAUAUAGGACUUUGUAAAAAUAUUCAAUUUAUCAUUUAAGAUUAAAUCAUACCAUUAUUUAUAUAGGAUAUUAACCCUGCUUCCCUUAAGCAUUUUAUUCAACUUCCUAGAGUUUGUUAGGGGCAACUGAAGAACCUUUGGGUUUGAGUUAUUCAAAUAGAUCCUAUCUUAUGUGGCGCCAAUGGGUAACCCAUUGCCCGUCCCUACCUGCUUUACAAGUGGCUCCACAACACAGGGACAAGUAUGAUUUGAUGGAAGUGUAAUUUCCAAAAUUCAUAUGAAUGACCAAAAAACGAUGAUCUCUUUGCAUUGCAGGCUCCAAAAUAUAGCAAGGAAUUCUUCGUGGGGUCUUGGACACCCCCAAUCUGCAAUAUGGGUUUGAUUUACUUUUAAUGACCUUGAACUUUCUCCCAUCACAAAUUAUGUUAAACCUUCUAUAUGAUAGAAUUUUACCACUCAUCUUUAGGGCUGUAGUACUUAAUGGACAAUGCUGACUUUCAUGAUUUGCUGUGAUCCGUAUCUGUGGUCUUCUUCUUUUGUGUGUCUCUCUAUGAAUGCUCAAACGUCCAGUUUCAUAUGUGACGCAUAUCAAACCUUAGUUGAUUGCAAAACAUGAAUUUAUCGUAAUAUAUUUUAUUAAUUUCCUAACAUGAUUUUGAUAAGUCAUGGGUGAUGCGAAGACUGUCUUUUGCAGCACUAGAUUAAUUCUUAAUGAUGUCAAAAUAGACUGUUUUCUAACUAACUGAGGGUUAAACGUUUUCCUUUAUUAUUUGCCCUGUUUUAACAUCUUUAGACUUGUAAACUGACUUUGCCAUUGCAGGGAUAUGUGAGUUGCAGAAUCAUGGUCAUAUUCUCAUCAGUGGAACAUCAGUAUGUUGCAAUAUGUUCCUCAGUUUGAUGUCAAAUUUCUUCAAAUAGAAUUAAAGGUUUUAUAAAAACCGACAUUUUUUAAAGUAGGGGGUUAAAUUUUAACUAUUUUUGAUGUAAAAUCCUCCGAAGGAGAUGUUAAAUCCAACGGGGAAGUCAAAUCAGCAGAAAAGUAAAAAUUGUAAAAAAUGACGCCCGAUGCUUUAGAUGUCUUUUUCAUAAUUUAUGUAUUGUUUUAUGGC
Molecule: long non-coding RNA, 2536 nt
Filed under: Prunus dulcis (almond)
Lineage: Eukaryota; Viridiplantae; Streptophyta; Magnoliopsida; Rosales; Rosaceae
Description: sRNA ncRNA
Source: RNAcentral